This 21-nucleotide non-coding RNA is filed under the name Arabidopsis thaliana (thale cress). The record is from RNAcentral. Lineage: Eukaryota; Viridiplantae; Streptophyta; Magnoliopsida; Brassicales; Brassicaceae.
UUUGUAAUUACGGAAGAUGGA